CGCGGGGUGGAGCAGUGGUAGCUCGUUGGGCUCAUAACCCAAAGGUCGUAGGUUCGAAUCCUACCUCCGCUA
RNAcentral lists this transfer RNA (72 nucleotides) under Bacteroidales bacterium. RNAcentral describes it as "tRNA-Met". It matches the Rfam family "tRNA". From Rfam's summary of the family: Transfer RNA (tRNA) molecules are approximately 80 nucleotides in length. Lineage: Bacteria; Pseudomonadati; Bacteroidota; Bacteroidia; Bacteroidales. The record is from RNAcentral.